Molecule: ribosomal RNA, 490 nt
Filed under: uncultured bacterium
Lineage: Bacteria
Description: partial 16S ribosomal RNA
Rfam family: Bacterial small subunit ribosomal RNA
Source: RNAcentral
AUUGAACGCUGGCGGCAGGCCUAACACAUGCAAGUCGAACGGUAACAGGAAGCAGCUUGCUGCUUUGCUGACGAGUGGCGGACGGGUGAGUAAUGUCUGGGAAACUGCCUGAUGGAGGGGGAUAACUACUGGAAACGGUAGCUAAUACCGCAUAACGUCGCAAGACCAAAGAGGGGGACCUUCGGGCCUCUUGCCAUCGGCUGUGCCCAGAUGGGAUUAGCUAGUAGGUGGGGUAACGGCUCACCUAGGCGACGAUCCCUAACUGGUCUGAGAGGAUGACCAGCCACACUGGAACUGAGACACGGUCCAGACUCCUACGGGAGGCAGCAGUGGGGAAUAUUGCACAAUGGGCGCAAGCCUGAUGCAGCCAUGCCGCGUGUAUGAAGAAGGCCUUCGGGUUGUAAAGUACUUUCAGCGGGGAGGAAGGGAGUAAAGUUAAUACCUUUGCUCAUUGACGUUACCCGCAGAAGAAGCACCGGCUAACUCCGUG